UGGUUCGUCACAUUCUUUUAGAUGUUUC
This 28-nucleotide non-coding RNA is filed under the name Rattus norvegicus (Norway rat). The record is from RNAcentral. Lineage: Eukaryota; Metazoa; Chordata; Mammalia; Rodentia; Muridae.